Non-coding RNA from Podarcis lilfordi (Lilford's wall lizard), 242 nucleotides. Lineage: Eukaryota; Metazoa; Chordata; Lepidosauria; Squamata; Lacertidae. The record is from the annotation of a GenBank genome assembly.
UGGGCAGCGGCGUAGCGUGGGUUGUCAGCACCCGGGGCAAGGCAAGUAAUUUGCGCCCCCUAACCCGGGGCAAGGCAAGUAAUUUGCACCCCCUAACCCGGGGCAAGGCAAGUAAUUUGCACCCCCUAACCCCUACCCUGCCGCCGCUGCCAGCUUCUUCUUGCUGCUGCCUGGUCUGGUCUGGUGUGGUUCUCUCCCGCGCUCAGCGCUGCGCUGGGCGGCCGCUGCACUGUCCCUCCCCA